Molecule: unclassified non-coding RNA, 3330 nt
Filed under: Leishmania donovani
Lineage: Eukaryota; Euglenozoa; Kinetoplastea; Trypanosomatida; Trypanosomatidae
Description: gene:LdHU3.06.1120(CDS-product:glucosamine-fructo se-6-phosphate_aminotransferase_putative)
Source: RNAcentral
AUACGCGUCCACACGUGUAUACACCCCGUCUCGUCUACCAUUUCUCUCUCUGCGAGUGUGUGCACACCGCCUCGGAUCAGCCGCACCUGCCGCUGUCGCAUGCACACACACGCAGACUCCCAUAGAAAUCGUAGCUUGCCUCUGUUCAUUGCCGUGCGCACGCGCUCCUUUUGGAUUUGAUUGCCUUCCGUGCCUUUCACGCAGCGCUUGUUCCUCGCAGCACAUCACUGCGCGCCGUCCCCAUCCCCUUCCAUCCCCGCCCCGCUCGCUGCAUCAUCGUUAACGCUUCGCAGCUCGCAGCCCUUUCAGCAGCGCCUCCCGUUCAUCUGGGAGCCUGUGCGCGUGCACCCAGUCGUCGGGUGCUGUCCCUCUCUCGGUGGUCACCGUCGUCGUCUCCCCUUCCCCUCCCUGAUGUGCGGCAUCUUGGGCUACGCCAACAGCAACGUGCCGCGCACGGUGGAGCAGAUCUUAGACAUUCUGCUCUGCUGCAUUCAGAAGGUGGAGUACCGCGGCUACGACAGCGCAGGCCUCGCCAUCGACGCAAACAUCGGCAGCGGCAAGGAGGACGGCACCGCCGCCAGUGCGCCGACGCCGCGUCCUUGUGUGGUGCGCAGCGUCGGCAACAUCAACCAGCUUCGCGAGAAGGUGUUCAGCGAGGCGGUCGCCGCUACGCUGCCACCGAUGGACGCCACGACGAGCCACCACGUCGGCAUUGUGCACACACGGUGGGCCACGCACGGUGGUGUGUGCGAGCGCAACUGCCACCCACAGCAGAGCAACAACGGCGAGUUCACCAUUGUGCAUAACGGCAUCGUCACGAACUACUCCGCGCUGAAGGAGCUUCUCAAGGGGGAGGGGUACGUCUUCUACUCCGACACCGACACGGAGGUCAUUAGCGUCCUCUCCGAGUACCUCUACACGCGCAAGGGGGUCCACAAUUUCGCCGACCUGCUGCUGGAGCUGUCAAACAUGGUGGAGGGCAGUUACGCGUUGCUUGUCAAGAGCGUCUACUUUCCUGGUCAGGUGGCGGCGAGCCGCCAGGGGUCGCCGCUGAUGGUCGGCAUCCGGCAUACAGACAAUCGCGGCUCCGUGAUGAAGCUGCAGACGUACGACUUCACCGACCCAUCGGGGCCCCUCGAGGUCUUCUUCUCCUCCGACCCGAACGCGUUCGCUGAGUACACGCGCGAUGUUGUGUACCUCGAGGACAACGACAUUGUUCACUACUGCGACGGCGCACUGCGCUUCUACAACGCAGCGGAGCGCCAGAGGUCAAUCAUCAAGCGCGAGGUGCAGCACCUGGAGACGAAGCUGGAGAGCCUGUCCAAGGGCAACUACGCGCACUUCAUGCUAAAGGAGAUCUACGAUCAGGCAGAGUCCGUCAUCAGCUCCAUGCACGGCCGCAUCGACUUCAGCAGCGGGACAGUGCAGCUCGGCGGCUUCACCCAGCAGAGCAUUCGCGCCAUUCUCACCAGUCGCCGCAUCCUCUUCAUCGCGUGCGGCUCCUCGCUCAACAGCUGCAUCGCUGUGCGGCCGCUCUUCGAGGAGCUCGUGCCGCUGCCGAUCUCCGUCGAGAAUGCCUCCGACUUCAUUGACCGCAGACCACAGAUGCAGCGGAACGACACGUGCUUCUUCAUCUCGCAGUCCGGCGAGACGGCUGACACGCUCAUGGCGCUGAAGCUGUGUAGCGAGGCUGGCGCGAUGUGCAUCGGCAUCACGAACGUCGUUGAAUCCAGCAUCAGCCGGCUGACGCACUGCGGCAUCCAUCUGAAGGCUGGCGUCGAGGUCGGUGUGGCGUCAACAAAGGCAUACACGUCACAGGUGAUCGUGAUGACGCUGGUGGCGCUGUUGCUCAGCAGCGACUCGGUGUGGCUGCAGGAGCGCCGCAACGAGAUCUUGCGCGGUCUGUCCGAGGUGUCAGCAAAGAUCGCCGAGGUGCUUAGGAUCACACACGACCCCGUGAAGGCGCUGGCGGCGCGGCUGAAGGAGAGCCACUCUGUUAUUGUACUCGGCCGCGGCUACGACCUGGCUACCGCGAUGGAGGCUGCGCUGAAGGUGAAGGAGCUGAGCUACGUUCACGCGGAAGGCAUCCACAGCGGCGAGCUCAAGCAUGGGCCGCUCGCGCUGAUUGAUGAGACGGUGCCGGUGCUGGCGAUGUGCACCAAUGACAAGCACUUCGGCUUGAGCAAGGCAGCGGUGCAGCAGGUGAACGCUCGCAACGGCGCCGUCGUUGUUUUCGCGACUGGGGUAGACGCUGAGCUAAAGGCGGCCGCGAGCGAGAUCGUCCUCGUUCCAAAGACGGUGGACUGUCUUCAGUGUGUCAUUAACGUUAUUCCGUUUCAGUUGCUGGCCUACUACAUGGCGCUGCUGCGCGGCAAUAACGUGGACUGCCCGCGCAACCUGGCCAAGAGCGUCACCGUGCAGUAGUACCGCAUGUAUGCUCGCACGCGCGUGUGUGCGUGUGGGUGUGCCGAGUACUGAGGCUGAGAGGAUACGGCGUGAGGCUGUCGCUCGCGCUGCUUUCCGUGUAUUGUGGCACACUGCAUGUGGGCGCGUGUGUGUGUCUCCGUGCGCAUUGCCACAUCUCCUCUUCCGCCCCACUCCCGCCCCUCCCUCUGUGACACCGGCAGCUCCUUCGCGGCUGUCGGCUCUGUUUCAAGUGCCGUCCUUUUCGUCUUGUGCUGACGCUGAUGUGCAUCAUUUCUUGGCCACCCUUUCUCUCUUCCGUCCUCCCAUACGCGCUUGUCUGUGCGCUUGCCGCGGGCUGUUCCGUGCCCCUACCCCCUCCUCUCAUCCUUCCCCUCUCUUCUUUCUCGCCCCCGCCAACGACAACAACACCCCCAUCCCCAUCCCCACACUCACCUCCCAAGAGGAGUGUGCGAUGCGUUGUGCGGGCGCAUGUGAUGAGGCGGAUGGGCCGAUACGCGUACGCGUGUUUUCGAGUGAAACCAAAGACGCGAGCGAAGGAAGAGUGAGAGCCGCGAGCGGUACGCGUGCGCGUGAAGGGGAAGGGCAGCGCGCGUGGCGUGGAAGGCCCCGUGGCUGGCUGCCCGUCUGCUCGUCGUCCUCAUCUUCUGCGCGUGCGGGUGUCUCUGCCGCCUACUCUCUUUGCUUCGCUUCUCCGCUCCUGCGAUGUCUCUCCUUUUUAGUGUGUGUGCGUGUGUGCGUUGUGUCGGCUGUGUCGGCCACCACCACCACCACCACCACUCUCCCCCUCCCCCCAUCUCCCUCUCCGUUGCCUGCGCCCCUCACUUGAGCGAUGUUUUCUCAGCGGAGGGGGGAGGGAGGGGCGACUCUUCGCGUGCGCGUACGAGUCGAGCGUGCGACGAAACC